RNAcentral lists this ribosomal RNA (1809 nucleotides) under Triticum aestivum (bread wheat). RNAcentral describes it as "partial small subunit ribosomal RNA". The record is from RNAcentral. Lineage: Eukaryota; Viridiplantae; Streptophyta; Magnoliopsida; Poales; Poaceae.
AUGUCAGCGCUGUUUGCUUGGCUCUGGACAUGGAAUCCGGAUCAGAUUCCCCGAGCCUCAGACUUCAAUGUGAUCCAUCGUCCUGAUAUUGUUUGCCCACGGGACUCGUUGCCGGAGGGGGUGCCGGCGGAGGAGGGGAAGGAAGGCCCCCACUUCCCGGUCCUCAUCCACUUGGACGUCGUCAAGGAUUACACGCCACUGCCACCAUCCGCGAGCCCAGCCGAGGAAUGGCCUCGCACAUACACACACAAGGGCUGGAGGAUGGGUGUGAAGGAUGGAGAGGGCAGAACCAGAGCUGCCUCGACGGCCAGCCCCUACAACGCUGGCCGGCGCAGCGACGACGACCAUGACGACGGAUUCGGUGGUGGCCGCAGGAAGAGGGGUAAGCGAGGAGGUGCGCGCAGAAGCUUCUGGCAGGGGGUGCGGGACCAGGCACAAUGCAGGGAUACUGCUGCCUAUGAUCCGGCUCCCCGUGGCCGGCGCCGCCAUGUUGAGGGCAUGGCUCCUUCCCAGGUCGCCAUUUGUCUCCCGUUAGAGGUGCGGACCCAGGCCCCGGCUGAUUCCCAACGCCGGCAAAGCCCGACAGCACAAGACAGGGUGUAUGUCACCCCAUCGCUGCAGGUGGUCCAGGGAGAGCGCGGCUCCGGUUCUAGGGAACAGGCCGACCAGCAGCAGCUCACAGAUGAGGAGAUCAAUGACGCAGAGCAGCCAAACCCUGACCAGCAGCAACGCUCGGAUGAGGAGCUCAGUGACGCCCAUAGUCUGCCUGCUUUGUCGGCUGGACAGGUUUUGCCACCUCAGGAGCUCACGGACCGUGCACGGAGGCUCUUUGUCCUUGUGAUGGAGAAGGAGGCUGGGGGCAUACAAGACUGGGGCCUUGCACCCACCCCUGGUGGUCUGAUGCAGCUCUUCUCCCCACCCCGGCAGAAGCAGCUCGCCCCUUGGGCCAGCAAUGUGGUUACUGAUGCAGCCUCCAUUACCGCAGCGGGGGUGACCUCCUUCUUCCAGCAACGUACCAGCUAUGAGUUGCCUCCCAUCCCGCCUUCUUUGGACGUUUGCAACCUCUCUGCAUGGGAUCUGCCUCCCCCAGGGCCGCCAGCGAUGGCCUGGGACCUGCCUAUUUUUUCCCAGAAUCCGUGCUGGCUACCAAGCUGGGCAGAGAUGCCUAUGACGAACCCAAGCUGGGCCUCUGGACCUGAGGUGGUGUUUGGGCCAGGGAUUCAGGCUUCACAGCAGGACCAUCCCCCUCCUGGACUGGACUGCGCUGAUAGACACAGGGAUGCGGGAUCAUUUGGCCAACAAUCCAUCGAGGAGCAGCGAGCGAGACGAGCACUGGCGGAGGCAAACCUCUCUGGUCCAGGCUUGGUUUCAGCGAUCACGGCAAGGAUGGCUGCCUUACACCUGGAUGAGCAGAGGCAGUUCAUUGGAAAAAUUGCUGCCCUCUUGUCCUCCUCCAUCCUAGGCCCCCCUCCAGUUUCUGCUCCCUCACCUCGCAAGCUGAAGAACCGCCUACUGGGGGUGGUCAGGGCCUCGCGGCAGAGUUCCAGGCUCCAGAGGAUGAACUCCACCCUAUCUUCUUCAAGAAGGUCCCAAGCAACGAUCAGCGUCAAGCUGGGUUUCAUCGAACGCCCUGAAGAUUUCAACGAUGACACUCUACUGGCGUACCUUCAGUUCUUCCGCGCGCCCAUGCCACCAGAGAACGUCACCAAGCUGGCGGAGAUCGCCGGCUUGACGUCCCCAUCUCAGCUACAGCUUCCGGACGCCGAGCUGCAAGCGAUCCUGGAGGAGCUCGCAGGCCAGGCUGCUUGA